GCAAGUCGAACGGUAACAGAACUAGCUUGCUAGUUGCUGACGAGUGGCGGGCGGGUGAGUAACGCGUAGGAAUCUACCGAGUAGUGGGGGACAACAGUUGGAAACGACAGCUAAUACCGCAUAAGACCUAAGGGGGAAAGGAGGGGAUCUGUUUACAGACCUUUCGCUAUUUGAUGAGCCUGCGUGAGAUUAGCUAGUUGGUGAGGUAAGGGCUCACCAAGGCAACGAUCUCUAGCUGGUCUGAGAGAAUGAUC
Molecule: ribosomal RNA, 254 nt
Filed under: uncultured bacterium
Lineage: Bacteria
Description: partial 16S ribosomal RNA
Rfam family: Bacterial small subunit ribosomal RNA
Source: RNAcentral